ACCGGCGAUACCCGAAUGGGGAAACCCAGUGUGAUUCGUCACACUAUCAUUAACUGAAUCCAUAGGUUAAUGAGGCGAACCGGGGGAACUGAAACAUCUAAGUACCCCGAGGAAAAGAAAUCAACCGAGAUUCCCCCAGUAGCGGCGAGCGAACGGGGAGGAGCCCAGAGCCUGAAUCAGCAUGUGUGUUAGUGGAAGCGUCUGGAAAGGCGCGCGAUACAGGGUGACAGCCCCGUACACAAAAGCGCAUGUGCUGUGAGCUCGAUGAGUAGGGCGGGACACGUGGUAUCCUGUCUGAAUAUGGGGGGACCAUCCUCCAAGGCUAAAUACUCCUGACUGACCGAUAGUGAACCAGUACCGUGAGGGAAAGGCGAAAAGAACCCCGGCGAGGGGAGUGAAAAAGAACCUGAAACCGUGUACGUACAAGCAGUGGGAGC
Molecule: ribosomal RNA, 437 nt
Filed under: Salmonella enterica subsp. enterica serovar Livingstone
Lineage: Bacteria; Pseudomonadati; Pseudomonadota; Gammaproteobacteria; Enterobacterales; Enterobacteriaceae
Description: bacterial LSU rRNA
Rfam family: Bacterial large subunit ribosomal RNA
Source: RNAcentral